AGAGUUUGAUUCUGGCUCAGGACGAACGCUGGCGGUGCGCCUAAUGCAUGCAAGUCUACUACUUGUGACUUCGGUCACGCUAUAGUGGUGGCAGACGGCUUAGUAACACGUAAGUAAUCUACCCUCAAGUGGGGGAUAAUCCGAAGAAAUUCGGCCCAAUACCCCAUAAUGUUUUAGUAUAUAUGUAUUGAAAAGAAAGAUUUAUCGCUUUUGGAGGAGCUUGCGGCCUAUCAGGUAGUUGGUAAGGGUAAUGGCCUACCAAGCCUAAGACGGGUAACCGAAGUGAGAGCUUGAUCGGUAAGAGGGGGACUGAGACACGGCCCCCACUCCUACGGGAGGCAGCAGCAGGGAAUCUUGCGCAAUGGACUGUAUGGUCUGACGCAGCGACACCGCGUGGAGGAUGAAUGCUUUAGGGUUGUAAACUCCUUUUCUUAGGGAAGAUGAUGACGGUACCUAAGGAAUAAGCAUCGGCUAACUACGUGCCAGCAGCCGCGGUAAUACGUAGGAUGCGAGCGUUGUCCGGAAUUAUUGGGCGUAAAGGGCGUCUAGGUUGAUUGAUAAGUCCUGUGUGAAAUCUCUUGGCUCAACCAAGAAAUGUCACAGGAAACUAUUAAUCUAGAGGUCAUCAGAGGUAAGUGGAAUUCACGGAGUAGUGGUGAAAUGCGUAGAUACCGUGAGGAACACCAGAGGCGAAAGCGGCUUACUAGGAUGAACCUGACACUAAAGCGCGAAAGCGUGGGUAGCAAACCGGAUUAGAUACCCGGGUAGUCCACGCCAUAAACGAUGGAUACUAGUUAUGGGCGGCAUUGACCCCUCUGUAACGAAGCUAACGCAUUAAGUAUCCCGCCUGGGGAGUACGGCCGCAAGGUUAAAACUCAAAGAAAUUGACGGGGGCCCGCACAAGCGGUGGAGCAUGUGGUUUAAUUCGACGCAACGCGCAGAACCUUACCAGCCCUUGACAUGGGGGUUCCGGAUAGCAGAGAUGCUUUCCUUCAGUUCGGCUGGGCCCCGCACAGGUGCUGCAUGGCUGUCGUCAGCUCGUGUCGUGAGAUGUUGGGUUAAGUCCCGCAACGAGCGCAACCCUCGUCUUCAGUUGCCAUCGGUUCGGCCGGGCACUCUGAAGAAACUGCCGGUGAUAAGCCGGAGGAAGGUGGGGAUGACGUCAAGUCCUCAUGGCCCUUACGGGCUGGGCUACACACGUGCUACAAUGGCGGUGACAGCGGGAAGCGAAGGGGCGACCCGGAGCGAAUCUCGAAAAGCCGUCUCAGUUCGGAUUGUACUCUGCAACUCGAGUGCAUGAAGGUGGAAUCGCUAGUAAUCGCGGAUCAGCAUGCCGCGGUGAAUACGUUCCCGGGCCUUGUACACACCGCCCGUCACA
RNAcentral lists this ribosomal RNA (1378 nucleotides) under marine metagenome. RNAcentral describes it as "bacterial SSU rRNA". It matches the Rfam family "Bacterial small subunit ribosomal RNA". The record is from RNAcentral.